UGAAAAUAUAACCAAUACACUCAUCGUUGGUGAGACUCAGAGGCGAGGCCCUAUACACAGAUUAUCAAUACAUGUAUAAAGUUGAGCCCCUACCGAAUGCUUUCACACCAAGACUGUUAGCCCAAUGGAAGUUGGCUGUGUGGAUACUCUUGAGGACCACAAGAGGUCUUGUUUCUUUAAAAAACAAAACCAAACAAAACAAACCAUUAAGGAUCACCCGCGAGGCAUCAUUGGGGAGAGAAAAUGAAAACAUCUGAAAGAAUGGAAAGAUCAGUUGAAGACAAGUUUUGACGAUAUCACGGACUGUAUCUCCCAGCAGAUGACACCAGUAAGCCAUGGUUUACUUGAAACAAUUACUGUGAAUGUACAUUGGUUGUACAUUUGUGUAUCUACCUGAGAAUAUAUAAUUUAUGGUCUGGCACGUGUAUGUGAUGAGGCAGGAAC
This 444-nucleotide long non-coding RNA is filed under the name Mustela putorius furo (domestic ferret). RNAcentral describes it as "lncRNA (ENSMPUG00000029191.1)". The record is from RNAcentral. Lineage: Eukaryota; Metazoa; Chordata; Mammalia; Carnivora; Mustelidae.